ACUCCUGGGCUCAAGCAAUCCACCUGCCUUGGCCUGCCAAAGUGCUGGGUGUGAGCCACUGCACUUGGCCAAAUUUAGUAUUUUGAUCGAGCAAGUAUAACUCUUCUCUCUUCAUUUUUGUACCUCCAAAUACUGAACUUGUGUCAAAUGUCCAUGGGGGGGAAUGUCUACCUCCAUAAGAAUGAAAUGGCCAAGGACAAUCUGUUGUACAUAAAUUAAUAUAUAACAUUCAACUUUUUAUAAAAAGGGUAUAUCUGUGAACUUUCUAUAUGUAUACAUCAAAAAUAUCUUUUAAAAGGGAUAUGUACUUCACUGGACAGAUCAGUUGUCCAUAGCUACUCAGGCUACAAGGACGUUAAAACUUAACGUUUGUUUAAAGUAUCCUCAUCCAGCCUUAAUGCAAGCCUUGCUGAAAUGAUUCUACAUCUCGUUACUUCCUCUCUUCAUUUCUCCACACAAAGACCUUAUUUGCAAACUUUACCCAUAUUCAGCCCGCUCCAGAUGUUCCAAAGACAAACAAUUAUAAUGACCAACUCAGUGUUUGCUGCAUUUUCAUAAGCACCUGGUGAUCUCUCACAAAUGAUGAUGGAGUUCUUUAGAAGCAGAGAUUCUCCAUCCUCUGAUAGUCUUCUUUCUGAUUUAGCUAUCCAGCCUUUUUUUUCCUAGAUUGUUAGCAAAUUCAAAAGAAUGUCACCAGUCGAAUUUUCGAGGAACAGAGAAAGCAGUGAUUCCAGCUUGCAAAUUUACUUUCUGUGCACUCAGAUGUGUGGGGGAAAUGCAGUUACUUAAUUAUCUAUGAAUCCUUUUCUGUACUAGCAUCCACUUCCCCAAAUUUAAACUUAUCAGUUAAUAAUAUUGCAGUCUCUUCUGCUUUAGACAGUCACCUCUCCAGUUAAAUAUUCUCUUUAUUCAAAGUUGAACUCACUCUCAGGGUGGGUGUGAACUGUCCCUGUUUUAUCCUCCAUUUUUUUUAGGUGAGCACCUUUGGAAACAUAGGGUCCUUGUCCCAUGUGGGCACACAGAGAUGAGAACAUUGCCACGGGCCUCUCCACACUUACAUAUUCCAGUUCUGACUUAACUGUCACCCUCAUGCUAAGUGUGGCUUUCAACUGUGUCAUGUUGAGCUACUCUCUUGUACCUUCAUUAGUUUUGAUCAUCUACAUAUAUUAUUAUUCAAAAAGGAAAAUAACUCAAGAUUCCAAAGUAUUUUUUUUUCUUAGUGAUACUUCUCAGAACCUGGGUUUUCAUCACUUCUCUUUAAAACUCACUCUGUAGAUAGGUACUUGCUGUUCUUAGAUAUCGUUUCUCAAUACCAAUGGUGACUUUCCGACGCCUCAGAUUCUUCCUGCUCUAUGAAAGGUCCAACAAUCCCAGAACAUAGAUCAGCCAGUUUUCUUUGGCCUUAAACCACCACAGGAAUCUCAGCUGAUAAAUUCUGCCUUACCUUCCUGCCAAAUUAAUUAUGUGUUGUUCGGCAAACAGUUCUGAAUUGUCUCUCUGCAGACGGCUUUGUGCAAAGACCUGUGGGAGGCACAAAAAAUGAAUAGGAUAUAGUCCUUUUUCUAAGAAGCUUAGAGUGUAAACACAAAGUUGAAACCAUCACGGUCCUAUUUAUCAUGGACAGACUCUUCCAUUCUUCUCUUUCUUUGUCCCAUAAGAGUAAUAUGAAAGGGGAAGGGAAAGUACUUUUUUCUUUUUACCAAGAAAGGCAGUUUACUAGAGGUGGUGGGCUGUAAUAGACAGUGGUGAGGGUUCCAGAAUUUUGCCUCACACAUGGACGUGGAUGUGGGGGUUUGGACAAAGUGUGGCCUCUGAGUCUCACAAGGUAGCUGGCCUGUGCCUGGGCUCUCUGCUGUCCUACCAGUUAAGCUGCAGUGAAGUAAAUCAUUUGUGGUAAGACCAAGAAGAAGAUAAAAAAACAUAUAAUGAGAAGGACUUGGCAUUUUAACAUAAGAUACUACUUUUAAACCUGUUUACAAAAUAAUUUAUGAAGACAUCUUUAUUUAUGGAAUGUUUAUAAAGAAAAAAAAAACAAAUUCAACUAAUAUAGGAAGCUGGUAAUGAAAUCUUUUUAAAUGAUAGAUGACCAUUUUAAUUCCUAUAAGGUAUAUUUUUAUGACUUCAAGCUUUUUAAGUGAGCAAAAAAUGAUAAUAAUGAUGAAAGCCUUGGUACACGGUAAUCCAGCACAGCCCGAGCUCUAAAUCACGGCAUAGACACCAUGAAAAACACAUUAUUGCCAAAACUAGGCUAAGGAUUUAAUAUUUAUUUCAUUCUGCUUUACCAGCCAAAAUUGUAUGGCUUGUCACAGCCUGUAUUUUCUCAUUAUUACAUUAGCAAAGAACACUGAGCUUUAUUGAGGAAAUUAAAUUAAAUUGAAAAGGAAGUGUUCAGCUCUAACUAGACUGGCACAAUACAAGGAAUUCUAGAACUGUACUCUGAGGGGUCUACUUUGUGAGAAAUGGCAGGCCCUUGGACUCAUUUUUCCCUAAACCAGUAUUUUCAGAAACACCUAUUUGCAUAAAAUCUCCAGGACACUAUUUUGAAUUUUCUUACAUUGUUGAAAUAACAAAAAUGUAUUUGCCAGUCAUUAAGUCCUUGUUCAGGGACUAGAUUCUAGGCCAACUGGAAGCAUUACUCAGGACCUUUGAUAUAUUUUCCUGUCAGCUCCGCAUAUUGUUAAUUCAGUUGUUCUUCAGAUCUACCAUCAAAGAUUGAUCAAGUGAGACAGAACAUAGCAAGCUCUGUUCUAUGUCACUUGAUAGGACACAGCAGAAAAUUUGCUAUUUCUGUCUCACUUGAUCAGUCUUUAGUUAAGAUUCCAAAUUACUAAUUUCUGUUUUUUUCUUGGCCAUCUCUAGCUCAUCAUUGGCAAUGAGUGAGUUAAUGCUAAAAAGGGAUAGGCAUGCAUUUUAUGUAAGCAUUUCAAAAUAACACACUAAAUUUUAAUUUUGAAAAGUUUAUACAAUAAAAAUAUAUAAAAGUAAAUCAAAUAUUAUAAUGAAUCCACGUAUACUCUGUGCUCUAUUUUUAACUCAUAGCCAGUCUAGGUUUUGUUUUGUUUUGUUUUUAUACUGCUUCUCUUCCUGUAUAAUUUGAAAUACAUCCAAAACAUCGCAUCAUUUUACUCACAUGUAUUCUAGUAGGAAUUGCUAAACACUAAGGACUCCUUAAAAAAAAAAAACAAAAAAAAACACUAUAAUACCAUUAUAAUGGAUUAAAAAUAUCAAUUCUUACAAAA
Molecule: long non-coding RNA, 3239 nt
Organism: Sapajus apella (tufted capuchin)
Lineage: Eukaryota; Metazoa; Chordata; Mammalia; Primates; Cebidae
Exons: 2
Source: RefSeq, a predicted model, not a curated record